UGUGUGUUAGUGGAAGCGUCUGGAAAGGCGCGCGAUACAGGGUGACAGCCCCGUACACAAAAAUGCACAUGCUGUGAGCUCGAUGAGUAGGGCGGGACACGUGGUAUCCUGUCUGAAUAUGGGGGGACCAUCCUCCAAGGCUAAAUACUCCUGACUGACCGAUAGUGAACCAGUACCGUGAGGGAAAGGCGAAAAGAACCCCGGCGAGGGGAGUGAAAAAGAACCUGAAACCGUGUACGUACAAGCAGUGGGAGCACGCUUAGGCGUGUGACUGCGUACCUUUUGUAUAAUGGGUCAGCGACUUAUAUUCUGUAGCAAGGUUAACCGAAUAGGGGAGCCGAAGGGAAACCGAGUCUUAACUGGGCGUUAAGUUGCAGGGUAUAGACCCGAAACCCGGUGAUCUAGCCAUGGGCAGGUUGAAGGUUGGGUAACACUAACUGGAGGACCGAACCGACUAAUGUUGAAAAAUUAGCGGAUGACUUGUGGCUGGGGGUGAAAGGCCAAUCAAACCGGGAGAUAGCUGGUUCUCCCCGAAAGCUAUUUAGGUAGCGCCUCGUGAAUUCAUCUCCGGGGGUAGAGCACUGUUUCGGCAAGGGGGUCAUCCCGACUUACCAACCCGAUGCAAACUGCGAAUACCGGAGAAUGUUAUCACGGGAGACACACGGCGGGUGCUAACGUCCGUCGUGAAGAGGGAAACAACCCAGACCGCCAGCUAAGGUCCCAAAGUCAUGGUUAAGUGGGAAACGAUGUGGGAAGGCCCAGACAGCCAGGAUGUUGGCUUAGAAGCAGCCAUCAUUUAAAGAAAGCGUAAUAGCUCACUGGUCGAGUCGGCCUGCGCGGAAGAUGUAACGGGGCUAAACCAUGCACCGAAGCUGCGGCAGCGACACUAUGUGUUGUUGGGUAGGGGAGCGUUCUGUAAGCCUGUGAAGGUGUGCUGUGAGGCAUGCUGGAGGUAUCAGAAGUGCGAAUGCUGACAUAAGUAACGAUAAAGCGGGUGAAAAGCCCGCUCGCCGGAAGACCAAGGGUUCCUGUCCAACGUUAAUCGGGGCAGGGUGAGUCGACCCCUAAGGCGAGGCCGAAAGGCGUAGUCGAUGGGAAACAGGUUAAUAUUCCUGUACUUGGUGUUACUGCGAAGGGGGGACGGAGAAGGCUAUGUUGGCCGGGCGACGGUUGUCCCGGUUUAAGCGUGUAGGCUGGUUUUCCAGGCAAAUCCGGAAAAUCAAGGCUGAGGCGUGAUGACGAGGCACUACGGUGCUGAAGCAACAAAUGCCCUGCUUCCAGGAAAAGCCUCUAAGCAUCAGGUAACAUCAAAUCGUACCCCAAACCGACACAGGUGGUCAGGUAGAGAAUACCAAGGCGCUUGAGAGAACUCGGGUGAAGGAACUAGGCAAAAUGGUGCCGUAACUUCGGGAGAAGGCACGCUGAUAUGUAGGUGAAGUCCCUCGCGGAUGGAGCUGAAAUCAGUCGAAGAUACCAGCUGGCUGCAACUGUUUAUUAAAAACACAGCACUGUGCAAACACGAAAGUGGACGUAUACGGUGUGACGCCUGCCCGGUGCCGGAAGGUUAAUUGAUGGGGUUAGCCGCAAGGCGAAGCUCUUGAUCGAAGCCCCGGUAAACGGCGGCCGUAACUAUAACGGUCCUAAGGUAGCGAAAUUCCUUGUCGGGUAAGUUCCGACCUGCACGAAUGGCGUAAUGAUGGCCAGGCUGUCUCCACCCGAGACUCAGUGAAAUUGAACUCGCUGUGAAGAUGCAGUGUACCCGCGGCAAGACGGAAAGACCCCGUGAACCUUUACUAUAGCUUGACACUGAACAUUGAGCCUUGAUGUGUAGGAUAGGUGGGAGGCUUAGAAGUGUGGACGCCAGUCUGCAUGGAGCCGACCUUGAAAUACCACCCUUUAAUGUUUGAUGUUCUAACGUUGACCCGUAAUCCGGGUUGCGGACAGUGUCUGGUGGGUAGUUUGACUGGGGCGGUCUCCUCCUAAAGAGUAACGGAGGAGCACGAAGGUUGGCUAAUCCUGGUCGGACAUCAGGAGGUUAGUGCAAUGGCAUAAGCCAGCUUGACUGCGAGCGUGACGGCGCGAGCAGGUGCGAAAGCAGGUCAUAGUGAUCCGGUGGUUCUGAAUGGAAGGGCCAUCGCUCAACGGAUAAAAGGUACUCCGGGGAUAACAGGCUGAUACCGCCCAAGAGUUCAUAUCGACGGCGGUGUUUGGCACCUCGAUGUCGGCUCAUCACAUCCUGGGGCUGAAGUAGGUCCCAAGGGUAUGGCUGUUCGCCAUUUAAAGUGGUACGCGAGCUGGGUUUAGAACGUCGUGAGACAGUUCGGUCCCUAUCUGCCGUGGGCGCUGGAGAACUGAGGGGGGCUGCUCCUAGUACGAGAGGACCGGAGUGGACGCAUCACUGGUGUUCGGGUUGUCAUGCCAAUGGCACUGCCCGGUAGCUAAAUGCGGAAGAGAUAAGUGCUGAAAGCAUCUAAGCACGAAACUUGCCCCGAGAUGAGUUCUCCCUGACUCCUUGAGAGUCCUGAAGGAACGUUGAAGACGACGACGUUGAUAGGCCGGGUGUGUAAGCGCAGCGAUGCGUUGAGCUAACCGGUACUAAUGAACCGUGAGGCUUAACCUU
RNAcentral lists this ribosomal RNA (2620 nucleotides) under Escherichia coli. Its description in RNAcentral is "partial 23S ribosomal RNA". It matches the Rfam family "Bacterial large subunit ribosomal RNA", at positions 323 to 2925 of the family's 2925-position model. Lineage: Bacteria; Pseudomonadati; Pseudomonadota; Gammaproteobacteria; Enterobacterales; Enterobacteriaceae. The record is from RNAcentral.